UCUGGGGAGGGGUUCCCUCAGCCCGGAUUGUGAGAGGGUGCAGGCCAGGCUGAGGGACCCCACCGAUACACG
This is a non-coding RNA of Myotis lucifugus (little brown bat), 72 nucleotides long. NCBI's taxonomy places the organism in Eukaryota, Metazoa, Chordata, Mammalia, Chiroptera, Vespertilionidae. The record is from Rfam.